This 595-nucleotide ribosomal RNA is filed under the name Blastocystis sp. RNAcentral's name for it is "partial small subunit ribosomal RNA". It matches the Rfam family "Eukaryotic small subunit ribosomal RNA", at positions 33 to 635 of the family's 1831-position model. Lineage: Eukaryota; Bigyra; Opalinata; Blastocystidae. The record is from RNAcentral.
CUGAUCUAGAUUAGCAUGCAUGUGUAAGUAUAAAUAUUUCUACUUUGAACCGGCAAUGGGUCCUUUAUUUCAGUAAUAGUUAAUUGAAGAAAAUGUACUACUUGGAAACCCGAAUAAUUUCUAAGCUAAUAACUGGACAAUUCCCCCAAUUUUGAAAAGGGGAGUUAAUAAAAAGGAAACCCAUAUGCUCUGGCUGGAUAGGAAGAAAAAAAAACCUUUCUUAUCGAUGGUUAAAAUAACGAUAGUUCUUUAAGUUUCUGCCCUAUCAGCUUUCGAUGGAAGGGAUUGGAACUACCUGGGCAGAACGGGUAACGAAAAAUUUGGGGUCCAAUUUCGAAAAGGAAGCCUGAAAAACGCUUACCACUCCCAAGGAAGGCAGCAGGCGCGUAAAUUUACCCAUCCCUGGACAUAGGAAGGUAGGGACAAUAAAUCACCAAUGCGGAAACUUCUGUUUUUUGCAAUUGAUAUUGAAAACAAUGUAAAAGAGUAUAUCAUAUAAACAAUGGGGGGGGAAGUCUCUGUGCCCAGCAGCGCGCGUAAUUCCCCAGUCCCCAAUAGCGUAUAUUAACGUUGUUGCAUUAAAAAAAACCUACAA